Molecule: long non-coding RNA, 2045 nt
Organism: Aedes albopictus (Asian tiger mosquito)
Lineage: Eukaryota; Metazoa; Arthropoda; Insecta; Diptera; Culicidae
Exons: 4
Source: RefSeq, a predicted model, not a curated record
UGCAUAUCAAGAAGGACAGAAAUUUUUGAUUCAGUGUCUGAAGAACACCUGUCAAACCGAACCUCAUUCGCGCGCGCGAAAUAAACAAGUGAAAACAAAACACCAAAGAGCAGCGGUGAACAUUGCUUAAAUUGUUAAUAUUCUUGGCUGACAUGCCGGAGCUUGAUGACCGGUCUGGUGCCGUACUGAGACGUGCCGUAGACAGCCACCUUUCUGAGCGUUCGUCAGUCAUCGAUUUGCUGCCAGCUAGAAUUUUCCUCGACCCAUACCUACUUCAUUUUCGAAGGUGCUCCACAACUAGCCUCUGGGUGUGCUCUGGGUCUAUUCUGCUGCGAAGUUCUGAUGGAUUCGUACAGUAAAUUACCGUUCUCGUUGUGAAAACGAUUCUACUAGUAAGGCGAAAAACAUUAGGUUGGUGUAGACGGUCUGCCACGAUAUGGCAGCGUAUUUUUCGUGUAAAGCUGCCGCGAAAAGAACAAGCUCCGGAAUUAGCGUUUUGAUUUGGAGACGCAGAAGUAGGUACGUGACAAAAUUCUAAGACCCCAACGCACCGAAAUGUUCUGUCGGCGUUUCUCUUGUUCUGCAACGGUGAAUGGAACAAGUUGCAGGGCAAGGCGCAGUACGAACAGGUGGUCAAGCUGAAAUAGGAAAACGAAUAGACCGGUGGAAUCUCAAUCAACUCGCUGUAAACCAGCACGUAGCAUGCGGUAGUGACCCAACAGGAGAUGGAGAAACAGCUGACCAGGGAAUCGAACGUAGUUUGCGACGAUAAAGGCACUUCUGCUAAUCAUGGAGCAGCUUCUUCACCGGUCUCAUUUAUCAAAUGCUUUGUAAUAUUUCUUUCUGUUUUUAUAUAAUAUUAAUAAAAAAAAAAUGCGGUGGGUGGGGGUGAGGUGUUUUGUUGGGCUCUAUAAAGUCAUCCGAAAUUACAUAGGCUGGGGCUACUAGUUGUAUGAAUAACUACAUCUGCCCAUAAUCGCAUAUCAGUAACAAUCGACAAAAAUAGGCAAAUUACCAUUUUCGCUUGCAUGUGAAUAAACCGAAAUUAAAAAAAAAAAAAAACAUAAACUCCAAAUCAAUCGUUUAGCGAUAAAAUUAUCUACAGCACUUUUUGUAUGCUGAACCAAUAGCCAGAAAAUAAAUAAAACCUUAAUAAAAUUGAUUGCACGCUUUAAAGUCUGGCUAUUUUUUCAGUGUGACUGUUAUGCAAUUACAUGCAUUCAACAUUGAGACAAAAUGACUUAUUUCAAAUAUCCUUGAACAAACUUUAAAAUUUUAUUAGGGUAAUUGAAAGUAGGUACUUCUGUUUCGUUGAUCAUCCCUGGUAUUAACUCAAUACUAGUGAAAAAUGCAAAUGUUACAAAUAUGCAGUUAUGGGCAGUCACUUCAGUUGUUAUAGGAAUGUUUAAUAGUUAAAAAUCAAACUAAGGUACAACGGGGCAAUUUGAGACGGUGGGAUAAGAUCAUAAGUGGAUUAACAUUAAGUUAUCUUAUCAUGAUAAUCUAUUUGAAUGUCAUAACAAAAUAGUUUUUGGAUCAAACAAUCUCUUAGUAAAGGAUACAUUUCCAAAUUGUAUUGAAAUCUUUUUCAAAACUUUGCGUAUAAUCUUGCCAAACCAGCUUCAAGUUGCCCAGGUGUAUCUUAUCAAAGCGUAGGUUGGAAGUCUAAUCCUAAACCAUACGGAGGACAUCAUACAUCACCAGUUCGUGCAUGCGGGUAAGUACAUAUAUUGAAACAAAAAUACCCAGUCUAAUCGCUGAAUUUCUUUAUGUUAUGACAUGUAGGUAGUCAAAACAACAUUUUUCUGUUUUGAAAAUAGAACGAUUUCUCUUAAUCGCCAGAACUAGUCAUACAGAAGGUUCACCAAGUCCUCUGAAGUUGUUUGGUGACACAAAAUGCAUCUACUUUGAAAAUAGAACUAUUUCUCCAAAUCACCCGAGCUAGUCAUGCCGAAGGUUCACCAAGUCCUCUGAAGUUGUUUGGUGACACAAAAUGCAUCUACUUUGAAAAUAGAACUAUUUCUCCAAAUCACCAGAACUAGUCA